GUGUGCUGGGAGCGGCGGACGGCUGCGUAACACGUUGGUACCUGCCCCGAACUCAGGGAUAACCUUCCGAAAGGAGGGCUAAUACCGGAUAGUCCCGUGAGGGUAAAGCUUUCGCGGUUCGGGAGGGGCCUGCGGCCUAUCAGCUAGUUGGUAAGGUAAUGGCUUACCAAGGCUAUGACGGGUAGCUGGUCUGAGAGGACGACCAGCCAGAAUGGAACUGAGACACGGUCCAUACUCCUACGGGAGGCAGCAGUGGGGAAUAUUGGACAAUGGGCGCAAGCCUGAUCCAGCCAUGCCGCGUGAGUGAUGAAGGCCCUAGGG
Molecule: ribosomal RNA, 321 nt
Filed under: uncultured bacterium
Lineage: Bacteria
Description: bacterial SSU rRNA
Rfam family: Bacterial small subunit ribosomal RNA
Source: RNAcentral